RNAcentral lists this ribosomal RNA (482 nucleotides) under uncultured bacterium. RNAcentral's name for it is "partial 16S ribosomal RNA". It matches the Rfam family "Bacterial small subunit ribosomal RNA", at positions 30 to 507 of the family's 1533-position model. The record is from RNAcentral.
AUUGAACGCUGGCGGCAUGCUUUACACAUGCAAGUCGAACGGUAACAGGCCGCAAGGUGCUGACGAGUGGCGAACGGGUGAGUAAUGCAUCGGAACGUGCCCAGUCGUGGGGGAUAACUACUCGAAAGAGUAGCUAAUACCGCAUACGAUCUAUGGAUGAAAGCGGGGGACCGCAAGGCCUCGCGCGAUUGGAGCGGCCGAUGUCAGAUUAGGUAGUUGGUGGGGUAAAGGCUCACCAAGCCAACGAUCUGUAGCUGGUCUGAGAGGACGACCAGCCACACUGGGACUGAGACACGGCCCAGACUCCUACGGGAGGCAGCAGUGGGGAAUUUUGGACAAUGGGCGCAAGCCUGAUCCAGCAAUGCCGCGUGCAGGAAGAAGGCCUUCGGGUUGUAAACUGCUUUUGUACGGAACGAAACGGCUCUGGUUAAUACCCGGGGCUAAUGACGGUACCGUAAGAAUAAGCACCGGCUAACUACGUG